This is a non-coding RNA of Piliocolobus tephrosceles (Ugandan red Colobus), 8183 nucleotides long. Lineage: Eukaryota; Metazoa; Chordata; Mammalia; Primates; Cercopithecidae. The record is from RefSeq and is a predicted model, not a curated record.
UUUUUUGUUUAAGUUCUAGGGUACAUGUGCACAACGUGCAGGUUUGUUACAUACGUAUACAUGUGCCAUGUUGGUGUGCUGCACCCAUUAACUCGUCAUUCACAUUAGGUAUACCUCCUAACGCUAUCGCUCCCAUCGGCGGUGCCUGUAUUUCUGAGCUACGUGGCAGGCUGAGUGAGGCUAAAUCACUUGAACCCGGGAAGCGGAGCUUGCAGUGAGCCGAGAUUGCGUCACUGUACUCCAGCUGGGGCAACAGAGUGAGACUUUGUCUCAAAAAAAAAAAAAGAUGUAAGUUAAGGUGAGGUCAUACUAGAGUAGGGUGGCCCCUUCGUCCGAUAUGACUGGUGUCCUUUGAAGGAGAGGGGAGCCGGCAGCACAGAGGCGAGACUGCCACGUGAAGACACGGAGCUGAUGGCCCUGUGAGGAGGGAGGCCGAGUUUGGAGCUGCGCAUGGACCAGCGUAGAAGAGCUGAGGGUCGUCCGAGACGACCAGAAGCUGGGGGAGAGCGAGUGCGGCAGACACUGCUGGCCUCUGGAACUAUGAGAGAAAUGGUGGUGGUUCUUUUGUGAAAAUGCGUUAUAGCAGCCACAGAAAACUACAAGGCUCCUCUCCCAGCCUCGGCUUUCGUUUGCUGGUCUGGAGGGUAAGGGUGCCGGCCGUACCAUCCAGACACUUGCGGCCUUGCACGUGGGGCCUCCUCAGGGAUUUGCCUUGACUGCCCCGGUCUCAGCCGCCACUGAGGGCAAGUGGCGGGAGCCCCUGAAAAGUGCUGUCGCUGCAAGGCUCCCUCCCUGAGAGGCCUCUGCCUUCUGGGAGGUGCAGCUGCCCUGCAGAGGACUGAGGCGGGGUCCACCAGAGAAGGCUGGCUUGAUCCUCUCCCCUGGUCUCAGCCCCUGUGGGCACUAUCCGGCCUCGGAACUCGGGAGGUGGAUGUGGUCAGGCCCUUUCUCCAAGUCAGUUUGGUCCCACGUGUGCUCUGUUACACACAGUGUUACACACAGGGAUCUGUCCCUUCAGACAGCAGUUCUAGGCAAACCUCUGGGCACUGGUGGCCCCAAGAGGAGUCAUUUCCUGACCCUGUGGAACUCCCAGCUAAGCAAGACAGGCGUGUUGAAAUUCCAAGAUCACAUGGUAACUCUGUCAGUCGCUCCUGUUGUUUAUAUCAGUCACACACGUUAGAUUUAGAAGAGGUAGAAAACACAAGCGGCCAGGCGCAGUGGCUCACGCCUGUAAUCCCAGCACUUUGGGAGGCCGAGGUGGGUGGAUCAUGAGGUCAGGAGAUUGAGACCAUCCUGGCUAACACGGUGAAACCCCUUCUCUACUAAAAAUACAAAAAAUUAGCCAGGCGUGGUAGUGGGCACCUGUAGUGCCAGCUACUCAGGAGGCUGAGGCAGGAGAAUGGCAUGAACCCGGGAGGCGGAACUUCCAGUGAGCCGAGAUCGCGCCACUGAACUCCAGCCUAGGCAAGAGCAAGACUCUGUCUCAAAAAAAAAAAAAAAAGAAAAGACAACACACAGAAGGUGUAAUAGUUAAGGGUCUUUGAAAACCAAAUGACACAGUGCCCAUAUCCAACUGACUUAAUAAAGGACAAUGAUUGGCUCCUGGAACAAAAGGGGGAUGACUUCAGGAGAGGCUUGAUCCAGCAGUUUGUCUGGAGACCCGUUACCCAUUAUCUGCUUUCCCUCAGGGCUGGCCUUGUGCUCAGGCUCUCCUGUGAGGCUCUGGGAGCAGCUCAGUCUUCCCUUGGGGCUGCAGAGGGGCAGUGCCACCCCUGGGCUCGUGUUCCCCUGCUGGGAAUCCUAAGGAAGAGGGGGAAGCAUUCUCUUUUUCAGAAGCCCCAGAAAAUGUCUCCUCAAGACUCAGUGGCUCUAUUUGAUUUCUCCCACAUCCAUUAACUUGCUGCUCUUCUGGUGGGCAUGGAUGUGCGGUUGGAUUUCAGCCUAUCAGGGCCUGGCCUGGCCUGGAGCUGGGGAUGGGGUCAGUCCCACUCAAGUCACAGAUCUGGGAAUGGUGGUUCUCCUGGAGUAACAUCUGGGUGCUGUCAACACCAGGAGGGGGCAUCCAUGGUGGCCAGAAAACCCAGAACUGUCCGCUGAAUGGGCCAAAGGAGGGAAUUAAGAUCAGCCUUGGUGCCGCCACCCGUGGCCACCGUGGCACGGGGGCCUGUGCUUCCAGACCUGGGUGGUGCGUGGAAUGGUGAUGGUGACUAUGCAGAUACGCCGAGGGGAUGACGGCGUUCCCUGAGUGAUCACUGCGCCCCAAGCUCGGUGCUCAGCACUGCUCCACACACAUUGAGCCACUGAAUCCUCAGCACCCUCUUGGGGCCACCAGUGCCCAGAGGUCUGCCUAGAACUGCUGUGUCUGAAGGGACAGAUCCCUCUGUGUGUGACACUCUGUGUGUAACACUCUGUCUGUAACAGAGCACACGUGGGACCAAACUGACUUGGAGAAAGGGCCUGACCACAUCCACCUCAGUUCAGUUAUUGGACAGAGGUUUACAGAGCCCCUGUUCUGUGCUGGUCGUUGGCAUGGGUAGGAGAUGGAGACGACUCCCCAUCAUGGGCUGUGUUCUUGCAGGCUUUCCCCAUGUUACAGGUGUGAACACUGAGGCCCAGAGAAAUGAGGCCGCACAGCUGGAAUGUUGCAGAUCUGAGAUCCAACCCCAGGGCCUUUUACUCCAAAACGUGUGUGCUUAAUGUGUGUCUAUACAUGCUGGUGAGUUUUCUUUUUAAACAGCUGAUCGCCCUCAGAUGCCCACUGCUGGCCUGUUUGGCUGCCCUUCUCCAGGCCAGCAGCCAAGACACAGUGCUGCCCGCAGGAGCGACCGACUGGGAGCCUUGAAACAGGUGGAGCCGGCGAAGCAGGGCCCUGAGCUGUGUGCAUGGGGCCUGGCUGCAGAUGGCCCAGUGAAGGCUCCAUGCAUUUCCAUUUUUGAAGCUUGAGCCCUUUCUUCUCCAUGAGGCUGACCCACUAGGCCGGCUUGGUCACACACUAGCUGUGCAGUUCUAGCUUAGUUACUUUACCUCUCUGGGUCUCGGUUUACUCAUCUGCAACGGGUCGGCAAACUACCACCCUCAGCCCGAAUCCAGUCUGCUGCCUGUUUUUGUAAAUAAAGCUUUAUUGGCACACAGCCAUGCUCACUCAUUCACAGAGCAGCUGCAGCUGCUUUUGCACAGGGCAAGAGACCCUGUGGCCCGCAAAGCCUGAAGCCCCUCUAUGUGGCCCUUUCCGGAAAACCUGCCAAUCCCUGACCUAGCAGAUGGAUGAUUGUAUGCCGGAGAGUGUAGGCUCUGAGAGGGCAGGGCUGUGUCUGUGGCUCUCACCAGAGUGUCCCCUCCCUGUCACCAACCCAUGGGGCCGUUGCAAGACUCGGAGAGAAACCGUGUCCAGUGUCGAGCAGAAGGCACACAGUGCGUGCUCAGUAACCUCCAGCUUUGGUUCCUCCCGUGAUUAAACAAAGGCAAGGAGGACUGCCCCGAGAGGCUCAGAGGGCCCGGGGUCUGGAAUAGGAGCUGAUCCUUGGGUUAGACCACUCGGCUCUUAAAGCGGCUGCCGGUUGAGAGGCUUGUCUCAGCUGCCGCUAGGUGCAAAUUAAAAGGAUUAAUGGACACCGCCGUCUUUGAAAGGCUGAAGGCCCACCGAAGCCCCUUCAGCAGAGGGCUCUGCAUUCUCUCUUCCCCAGUCCUCCUUGUGUGCCCCCGUGAGUGGCGGUGACAAUGCUCCCGGAUGUGGGCCCCAAGGCCAGCGGCCCCGGAGCUGCCUGCCCACCCGUCCGCCGGCUAUUGUCUGCUCCGGCCUGGCGGUGUGGCGCUGGGCUUGUGGGGCCCCAGCGGGCAGGGGACUGUGGGAACGGAUUAGAGGUCCUGGGCUUGCUUUCCUCGUCUUGCAUAAACUCUUGAUCAAAGACAUUCCUGGGAUGACAGAGCCCUGUGAGCUGCGAGGCUGGCCCAGCGUGCGGGACGCACACCCCAUGCUGCAGCCCCUGCACAGGCCUGCCCUCGCUGGCCCUCGCUGGCCCUGGCUGCAGUGCUGACUCUGGGGACUAGCCUUAUGGUGGGACUGGUGAUGGAGCGGGUGCCAGGAGGCACCACAGCCUUCCCCACCAGAUUCAGAGGCCAGACCCUCGAUGCUGGGCGGAGUGAGGCUGUGACUCUGCUUCCUGGGGUGCUUCAAGGAGGGUCACGCUGCAUGCAGGGUGGCUGGAGGGAGUGCCAGCUGCAUGCCACUGCCACUGGGCCUGGCUUCUCUGGGCUCCCACGGGCACUGCCCCAUCCUCUGCAACAGCCCCGUCCACUGUUAUCCCACAGCAUGCCCGCUCUGCCCAGCCUCCUUCCUCUGUCCCCUCGGGGACUCUCACUCCUCAUGACAACUCUAGGUGUUGUCUGGGCCCCCGGGGAACCCCCGGCCCUUCCAGCCAUGGAGUCAGCUCCUGGCACGCGGAUCAGGUUGGACCCAUGGAUCUGCAACGCAGCCCAGCAGCUUGGGGCUGCCCUGUGGGAGCCGACACGACCUCCCUUCCAUUUGGCCCCCUUCCUAGGACCCACUGCUUGCCAGGGUGGGGAGAAGGGAGGCAGAGAGGAAUCAGGGAGAUUUCCAUCCUGGAGGGACUCAGCCGGAGCAGGAAGGCGCCCAGGUAUGACAAUCCCAGACUCCCAGAGCCACCUGCCUGGUGUGGGGUGGGGAAGCCUCUAGAGAGCCCACCCUCAGAGUGAGUGCAGAGGUGAAGGUUCCUGUGGACCAAGGCGGUGGGCCAGGCACGGAACAGGAAGCUUGAUGCAGUCUGGUGUGUCAGGAGCUCCUGGGCAAAGACAUCGAGCUUACUGGGGCUCAAGGCUGGGUAGAGAUGGGGCUGAGUCCCAAGGACCUUGGACGGAGCUGACGGGAGAUAGGAAGGCCGGGGGUUGGGGGCAGAAGAUGAAGAAUAGAUGAGGACUGUGCCUGCAGGGACAUGGGCCAGGAGGCAGGGCAGGGCCCCUCGUGAGCGGGUGGUGGGGCACCUGAGAACAGGCUUUUGAGAAGGGGCUGCAGGGAGAGCUGACUGUGGAAGGCUUCGUCUCUGAAGUUCCUCAAAGGUCAGUUUUUUACCAUCACCCUCUGGGCAGCGCAGAUACCCCAACAAGGGACGAGGGCUUCACUGCAUCCCAGGCGGGGUUGCAGGCCCCAAAGUGAUGUCAGUGGAGUUUGAGAGUUGGGAACAGGGGCCCAGAGUAGCCAGACCAUGCCUUUGAUAUGGCUUGGCUGUGUCCCCACCCAAAUCUCAUCUUGAAUCGUAGCUCCCAUAAUUCCCACGUGUGUGGGAGGGACCCGGGGGGAGAUAAUUGAAUCAUGGGAGCGGUUCCCCCCAUACUGUUCCCAUGGCAGUGAAUAAGUCUCAUGAGCUCUGAUGGUUUUACAGCGGUUUCCCCUUUCAUUUGGCUCUCAUUCUCUCUUGCCUGCCUCCAUGUAAGAUGUGCCUUUUGCCUUCUGCCAUGAUUGUGAGGCCUCUCCAGCUACGUAGAACUGUGAGCCUAUUAAACUUCUUUUUCUUUAUAAAUUACUCAGUCUUGGGUAUGUCUUUGUUAGCAGCAUGAAAACGGACUAAUACAGCCUUGGAGCUCGUGGCAUGACCACGAUGUAUAGACAGACCCACCCUUCACUGGGGGGGUGUACAGACCCCCCCAUUGUGGCACAGCCAGGGGUGGGGGGACCGGGGGAUGUACAGACCCCUCCAUCGUGGCACAGCCGGUGGGGGGGGGACCGGGGGAUGUACAGACCCCCCCAUCGUGGCACAGCCGGGGUGGGGGUUGUACACAUCCCACUAUCAAGGGAUGCCACAGAUGCCGGGACAGAGAUCUGUGGCUGUGGGGGAGCUCACAACCGUUUCACUCUGGGCCCGAGCCCUCUCUAUACACUUGGCUGUGAACACAGCUGACCCACUCAGGGCCCCUGCCCUGCCCUGCCAGCCUGCCUGAGUCCCACGCUCGGCAAAGUGGCUCUCCAGCUUCUUGCCCACAUCCUUGCUCAAACCUAACAGGAUCCGAUGGCUACCUUGCCUCCUCCGUGAAACAACCAAAGGUGCCCUGUGCGAUGGUUGGAACUCUGUGCACAGGCCUUCUGCUACACCCAUGUGCUCUCGGGGGAGGAAUGUAAACCCAGCUGCAGGCUGGGGGCGGGGACAUGGCUUCCCUAGGACCCCAGCCCUGACACAGGACCUGGCCCUUGCCCAGAACUGAACAGCCACAAUAGUGCAGACCUGGUCCCUGCCUUCAGAGUAAUUUGCCCAAAGAGCAAGGAGCUGCACCUUGUAAGCCACCUGAGUGGCCACCAGUGUCACUUCUGGCUCCGACUAUCCCUUGAGCUCUUGCUGAGGUGACCUGUCAGGGGCACCCUGCAGGCUCCCCCACCCACUCCAUAUGGGACUCCCUUGGGGAAGGCUCCCGGAGCCCCCACCCUCAGGGGAGAGGCUGGUGGAGACCUAUAGGGGCCGAGUGUUUCCCUCCACACCCCACCUUCCUCCCAGGGCAGGCGCCUGUGGAGCCAACACACUAACCACCCGGGCUCCACUUUCCGCCCUGGAAGGAGUGCUCUACAAGGCAGGAAGGGUAGACAGCAGGUGCUUCAUAAAGGCCAGAGAUUCGACCUGCAGCUGACAAGUAGUAACCAUCAGUGGCGUGGGACCUGAGCUUCCACUUGGCUUGGGGUAAGGACAGACCACCCUCACAGAUGGGUCCGGGAGCAGUGACCAAGGUCCGCGGACACCUCCCCAGGGCACUCCCACGACCCACCUCCACCCCGGGGUCUGAAGUUAGGUUCAGUCACGUGCACCUGAAAUCCAUAAGUGGACGUCAUGGGCACCCUCUAAGGCAGCCUCUAGGUCUCCACAAUCCCAGUGAAAGGCCACCCUGGAUCACAGCCCUGACACGGUGCUUUGCUCUCCUGGAGCCUGGCGUUGCCAAAGGAUCAUGAUUCAUCCAGAGCAAACAGCAGUUUGUGCCAGAAGAGGGUUAACAAAUGCCGGCUUUAUUUAUUUUCCUAUCUGCAAAUAACCUGAGAAGACAAACUGGUGGGGCAAGCAAGGGAUGGAAGAUGUUCCCAAUCAAUGGGCACCACUCACGUCACCCAGGCUGGAGCUGUUGUCUCGCGUGGUUGGAGGUGGGCUCACCCAGCCAGGCUGCCUGCAAACUAUUCUUUGGAGCCUCCCCGGGACAGGAGUCCCCCUCCCACCUCCCACACCUGUGCUCAGGGGUUCCUCCCAGUUGGGAAGGGUGUGCCUGCUCCUGGCUGGAUUCUGUCCCCACCCCCGGGGAUGUGGCAGUGUCAGGAGACAUUCUUGGUUGUCACAGCGGGUGGCGUGACUGUCAUCCUGUGGGUGGAGGUCAGGAUGCUGCUGAACUUCCCGCAGUGCACAGGACAGGCUGUGGCCUCCCGCAUCUGCCGAGCCUGCCACCCUGCCCUGGUUCUGGGGCACCGGGACACGCGCCCCUGGCUCACAGCCAGUCCAGGAAGCAAACAGGCAGGCGCCAUGCUGGGGUUUUACCAGUUUUAUUUCUAGACUUUCACGUUUGUCUUUUUGUCUUCUGCUGGAAACAUGCCGGUUACAUGUUGGUGCUGGGAAGCGCCGCGGUGCAACCAGAAACACACGGACCCAGCCGCCCGCCGCCCAGACCCUCAGACUUGCGCGUCACAGGACAGACUCCACUGUGCCCCGUGCACUUGCCACCAGCCUUUGGCCUCUCGAUACACACAACAUCCAGGACUUGUGCCCUUGCCCCAUCACGACAGACAAAGCGUCCCUCAAGGCCCCCGCGUGGUUCAGACAGACGCCGCAGCCAGGAUGGUUGAGCUACACGCAAAGAAUGACACAGCUGUAAAAACUAUGAUGAUGAUACGCCCCCGAUCAGAUGAAGAGCCCAGCAUCACAGGCGCAGGGAAGAGAAGGUGGACACAGCCUGGUCUCCAGGGACACCGGCACGGUUCUCACGCACGCGGCCUCGGGGCCGGCCCCCACCAGCCUGUGUGGGAUCGCGCCCGCGUGUCUGCCCGCCGAAGCAGACAGAACCUGCCCGCUGGGUCCACCAUGGCUAAGUGAAGCAUGAGGUAUUGUGAAACAGGAACCUUUUUGGAAUAGAGCAGUAAUCACAUUAAGUCAAAAUUGAUCACAUAAAAAAAAAAAAAAACUACAAAAAAGGCAUCUGUAAUACAA